GACGAACGCUGGCGGCGUGCUUAACACAUGCAAGUCGAACGAUGAAGCUUGGUUCUUGCACUGUGCGGAUGAGUGGCGAACGGGUGAGUAAUACGUGAGUAACCUGCCCUUGACUCUGGGAUAAGCCUGGGAAACUGGGUCUAAUACGGGAUAUGACAUUCCACUGCAUGGUGGUGUGUGGAAAGGGGUUUACUGGUUUUGGAUGGGCUCACGGCCUAUCAGCUUGUUGGUGGGGUAAUGGCCUACCAAGGCGACGACGGGUAGCCGGCCUGAGAGGGUGACCGGCCACACUGGGACUGAGACACGGCCCAGACUCCUACGGGAGGCAGCAGUGGGGAAUAUUGCACAAUGGGCGGAAGCCUGAUGCAGCGACGCCGCGUGAGGGAUGACGGCCUUCGGGUUGUAAACCUCUUUCAGCAGGGAAGAAGCGAGAGUGACGGUACGUGCAGAAGAAGCGCCGGCUAACUACGUG
RNAcentral lists this ribosomal RNA (472 nucleotides) under uncultured bacterium. Its description in RNAcentral is "partial 16S ribosomal RNA". It matches the Rfam family "Bacterial small subunit ribosomal RNA", at positions 28 to 507 of the family's 1533-position model. The record is from RNAcentral.